RNAcentral lists this ribosomal RNA (228 nucleotides) under uncultured bacterium. RNAcentral's name for it is "partial 16S ribosomal RNA". It matches the Rfam family "Bacterial small subunit ribosomal RNA", at positions 1276 to 1500 of the family's 1533-position model. The record is from RNAcentral.
CAAAACACGGUCUCAGUUCAGAUUGCAGGCUGCAACUCGCCCUGCAUGAAGUUGGAAUUGCUAGUAAUCGCGAAUCAGAAUGUCGCGGUGAAUACGUUCCCGGGCCCUUGUACACACCGCCCGUCACACCAUGAGAGUCGAUAACACCCGAAGCCUGUGAGCCAACCUUUUAGGAGGCAGCAGUCGAAGGUGGGGUUGAUGAUUGGGGUGAAGUCGUAACAAGGUACC